Molecule: non-coding RNA, 80 nt
Organism: Caenorhabditis elegans
Lineage: Eukaryota; Metazoa; Nematoda; Chromadorea; Rhabditida; Rhabditidae
Source: Ensembl
CGAAAGUAGAAAGAAUCCAGCCUUACGGAACACAAACUCAUGUGCUGUGCUUUAGUCUUUGCGCAUGUCUGCUAGGCACC